CCUACGGGGGGCAGCAGUGGGGAAUAUUGGGCAAUGGAGGAAACUCUGACCCAGCAACGCCGCGUGAAUGAUGAAGGUCUUCGGAUUGUAAAGUUCUUUUAAGAGGGAAGAGCAGAAGACGGUACCUCUUGAAUAAGCCACGGCUAACUACGUGCCAGCAGCCGCGGUAAUACGUAGGUGGCAAGCGUUGUCCGGAUUUACUGGGUGUAAAGGGCGUGUAGCCGGGCUGACAAGUCAGAUGUGAAAUCCCGUGGCUCAACCACGGAACUGCAUUUGAAACUGUCGGUCUUGAGUAUCGGAGAGGCAGGCGGAAUUCCUAGUGUAGCGGUGAAAUGCGUAGAUAUUAGGAGGAACACCAGUGGCGAAGGCGGCCUGCUGGACGACAACUGACGGUGAGGCGCGAAAGCGUGGGGAGCAAACAGGAUUAGAUACCCUUGUAGUC
RNAcentral lists this ribosomal RNA (442 nucleotides) under uncultured bacterium. Its description in RNAcentral is "partial 16S ribosomal RNA". It matches the Rfam family "Bacterial small subunit ribosomal RNA", at positions 338 to 795 of the family's 1533-position model. The record is from RNAcentral.